Molecule: unclassified non-coding RNA, 328 nt
Filed under: Hevea brasiliensis (rubber tree)
Lineage: Eukaryota; Viridiplantae; Streptophyta; Magnoliopsida; Malpighiales; Euphorbiaceae
Source: RNAcentral
CGUAUUAGAUCAGUUAUGUAUUCCAUAAAGCCUGAAUCACAUGGCAGUAUGAGAGGACUGUUGCUUGUCAAUCCAAACUCUUCUUCUGCAAGCUCGAAUAAUUCUUUUACAACAUCAUUGUUAAGAUAUUCCAAAGGAAGCACAAAGCGUUUUUGAUCAAUCGAGUACACCACAAAGUGACCAUUCUCAACUGGGUAUGAUGUGCUACAACUUUCUGCAUCCACUAUCUCACAGGUGGUUCUUGGCAUUGUGAUUCUUUUCCGCCUAAGGGAAGCCAGCUUCUGCCAUUUCCUUGCCAGUUUGAUAAGCUUUUUGGCACUGAUCAUCU